Molecule: non-coding RNA, 33 nt
Filed under: unclassified sequences
Source: RNAcentral
CUCUGAUUAACAUAAUAAUCAGGGCCGAAGGAG